UGAGGUGUCAGCACAGCAGAGA
RNAcentral lists this non-coding RNA (22 nucleotides) under Arabidopsis thaliana (thale cress). The record is from RNAcentral. Lineage: Eukaryota; Viridiplantae; Streptophyta; Magnoliopsida; Brassicales; Brassicaceae.